GUUUUUAUAGUUUAAAAAAACCUUGGUCUUGUAAAUCAAAGAUAAUCUACAUUAGAUUUUAAAACA
This 66-nucleotide transfer RNA is filed under the name Pedetontinus luanchuanensis. Its description in RNAcentral is "tRNA-Thr". It matches the Rfam family "tRNA". Rfam says of the family: Transfer RNA (tRNA) molecules are approximately 80 nucleotides in length. Their secondary structure includes four short double-helical elements and three loops (D, anti-codon, and T loops). The record is from RNAcentral. Lineage: Eukaryota; Metazoa; Arthropoda; Insecta; Archaeognatha; Machilidae.